Mangifera indica (mango) is the source of this 7304-nucleotide RNA transcript. It is a transcript of the gene named probable disease resistance protein At4g27220, with no coding region annotated. NCBI's taxonomy places the organism in Eukaryota, Viridiplantae, Streptophyta, Magnoliopsida, Sapindales, Anacardiaceae. The transcript has 9 exons. The record is from RefSeq and is a predicted model, not a curated record.
GAGAAAGACUUACCAGCCGACGACACUUAAUCAUUAAUGUUUUCUUCCCUCCAAACAAGUAAAGCAAACACUCUGUAGUCUGUGGUGCUUCAAAACUCACCUCUACUACUUCUCAGAGAAACACACUGAUCAAGCCAUGAAGCUCUACUUGUAGUUAUCUGUUUGCUUCAAGCUAGACUAUGUUCAUUGAGGGUUGCUCUUAAAAACUUUGAUUUUUAUAGUUGUUUGUUCUGUGUGUGUGCGCGCCCUUUCUUUUUUGUCUCCUGAGAACGCUUAGAAGUUUCGUUCUUUAUCUUUUCUGUUUCUUUUUGUUUCCCUGUUUUCAUUAUUGAGUUUUCGAUUAGCCUUGCUUUUAUGUUCAGUAUUCUCAGUGUAAAACUAGAUUUUGUUCAUUAAGCUUUUCUCUUAAAUAUUUUCUGAAAUAUUUUGUUAUAUAAUGUUGUCCACUUCUUUUUCUUUCCUUUCCCCUGCCCCCUAGGCUUGUAGCUUUACUUGAGAAGGAAAAAAAAAAAAAAAGAGAGAGAGAGAGAGAGUGUGUGCCUGUGUGUGUGUUCAAGUGUUUAUAUGCAAUGGCUGAAGAAAUAGCUAUCAGUACUGCUGCGGGACUUGCAUCAACAGCUGCAGAGUCAGCAUAUGAUUUGCUUAAACAGCCGAUAUCUUAUGUGUUCAAGCACCAGAGCUAUAUCAACAAACUCAAAAAACAAGUUGAGGAUCUCAGAAAUAAAAGAGAAACAGUAGAAAAACCUGUAGAGUCGGCUGAAAGACAGGGGGAAGAGAUUUAUAAAGCUGUUAAGAAAUGGCUGAGUGAUGUAGAUGAGUUCACUGAAAGGGUAGAAAGGACCAUCAUUGAGGACGAGGAUAAAGCAAACAAGGGCGGCUGUUUCAAAAUGGGAUCAUGUCCUAAUUUGAUUCAACGUUACAAGCUUGGAAAGGAAGCAAUGAAAGCCACAAUGGAUGGUGCCAAUUUGCUGGGGAAAGGCAAUUUUAGUAGUGUUUCCUACCGUCCUGCUCUGCAGAAGACAGAAUCCAUGUAUGUUAGAGACUAUGAGACGUUUGAUUCUAGAAAGCAAGCUUUUCAGGAAAUUAUGGAGGCAUUGCAGGAUGUUAAUAUUAACAUGAUUGGGGUAUAUGGGAUGGGAGGUGUGGGCAAAACCACACUGGUCAAAAAAGUAGCAUGGGAAGCAAAGAAAAACAAGUUAUUUGAUGAGGUGGUCAUCGCUGAGGCAACACAAACUCCAGACUACAAAAGAAUUCAAGAAAAAGUUGCUUCUGAGUUAGGACUGGAAAUUAGGCAGGAGGGUGAAUAUCAGAGAAGUGGUCUCCUACGUGAGAGGAUAAAGAAGGAGAAAAAUUUACUAAUAAUUUUAGAUAAUAUUUGGACAAAACUUGACUUGGAUGAAAUUGGAAUUCCUUUCGGUGGUGUUGGGAGAGAAAAAGAUGAGAAGAUCAGGCCAUGCAUAAAACUUGACUUGGAUGCAGUUGGAAUUUCAUUCGGUUGUGUUGAGAGAGAAAAAGAUGAGAAGACCAGGCCAUGCACUAUAUUGUUAACUUCUAGAAAUCGGGAUUUAUUAAGCAAAGAUAUGAAGACUCAGAAAGACAUAUUCAUUGGUCCUCUAUCUUACGGAGACGCAUGGAAUUUGUUUCGCAAGAUUGUGGGUGAUGCUGCUGAAAGCUCUGAUUUUCGUCCUGUAGGAGAUAAGAUUGUUAAGAAAUGUGGCGGUUUGCCAAUAGCAAUUUCACUAAUUGCAAAUGCAUUGAAAAAUGAGAGUCUUCACUCCUGGGAAGAUGCCUUGGCUCAACUACAAAGGUCUAAUCCAACACAUAUUCUAGGUAUGGAUGAAACUUUGUAUUCUACCAUGGAGGUGAGUUACAAAUUUCUGAAAAAUGAGGAAGCUAAAUCAUUAUUUCUUCUUUGUGCUCUCUACAAUGCUGGUAAUAGUGUGUUUAUUGAUGACCUAUUAAAAUACAGUAUGGGUUGGAAUUUGUUUGGAGAUGUUUAUACAUUGGAAGAAGGAAGGAAUAGGUUGCACAGGUUGAUAGAUCAUCUCAAAGCUUCUUGUUUAUUGGAGGAUGGUACCUAUGACAAUUCAGUUAAAAUGCAUGACAUUAUUCAUGUUGUUGCUGUAUCAAUAGCAGCAACGGAGAAGUUGAUGUUUAAUAUUCAAAAUGUCACUGGCUUGAAAGAUGUUUUGGGGGGGAGAAUAUCAAAAGAUUCAACUGCUAUAUCUUUGCCCUAUAAAAAUAUCAACGAUGAUCUUCCUGAACGGUUAGAAUAUCCAAAACUGGAGUUGUUCUUCCUAUUUUGUAAAAAUCGCUCUCCACAAAUUGCAGAUGCUUUUUUCGACAAGAUGAAAGAACUCAGAGUUUUAAGUGCCUACGGAGUGCAAUUCUUGCCAUUACCUUCAUCCAUUUCUUUCCUAAAAAACCUUCAAACAUUGUCUCUGAAAUCCUGCACAUUUGGGAAUAUAAGAAUACUUGGAGAACUAAGUAAAUUAGCAUUUCUUAGCUUGGUUGGGUCUAAUAUCGAAGAGUUGCCUGUAGAAAUUGGACAAUUGACUCAGUUGAAGUUGUUAGAUUUGAGCAAUUGUUUAAACCUUAAAUACAUUGCCACAAAUGUCAUAUCCUCCUUGUCUCAAUUAGAAGAAUUAUAUAUGGGCAAUAGCUUUGUUCAAUGGGAAGUUGAAGGAGUCGAUAAUCAAGGACGAAGAAAUGCUAGUCUUGAAGAGUUGAAGCAGUUGUCUAACCUAACAACUUUACAUCUUCAUAUUCAAGAUGCUCGAGUUAUGCCACAAGACCUAUUCUUCAAGAAACUGAAAAGCUAUAAAAUAUUUAUAGGAGAUAAAUGGAAGUGGCCUAUUAAAUUUGAUCUUUCAACUUCAAGAAUGUUGAAACUCAAGAUCGAUGUUAGUAUUCAUUUGCAACAUGGGGUUAAAAGUUUGUUGAAGAUGACCAAAGUUCUCUCUCUAGAAGGAAUGAGUGGUGUUAGAAAUGUUAUUUAUGAACUCAGUGUGGAUGGUUUUCCACAUUUAAAGCAUCUGCAUGUAAAAAAUGAUCUUGAGCUUUUAUAUAUCAUUAACUCAGUUGUUUGGAAACUAGUCUUUCCCAACUUGGAGUCCUUGAUUCUUGGUAAUCUGAUUAAACUGGAGAAUGUAUGUCAUGGUCAACUCAAUGUAGGGUCUUUCAGAAAAUUAAGGAUCAUAAAAAUAGUAAAAUGUGAUAGAUUGGAGUAUCUCUUUGCAUUCUUCAUAGCAAAAAGCCUUAUGCAGCUACAAGAAAUUGAAGUGACUGAUUGUAAGAACCUAAAAGAGAUUUUUGGUGAAGAAAAUAAUGACCAUGGUGAUGAAAUUGAAACAAAUAAUCAGACUGAGCUCAAUCAUUUGUGUUCUUUGAAACUACAACGUCUACUCAAAUUCAUAACGAUCAGCUCUGACAUGAGGGUUGCUUUUCCAAGUUUGGAGAAGAUGGUGCUCUUGCACUUGUAUAACUUGCAGCUGAUAUGGCAAAAACAAAAAGUCCAUGUGGAUUCCUUUUGCAAACUAAAAGUAGUGAGAGUUGAAUUCUGUUUAAAGUUAUUGUCUAUUAUUCCAUCUAAUACUCAAGGACAUCUCACCUUUCACAAUUUAGAGAGUUUGAAAGCUAGUGGUUGUUUGAGUAUGAAAAGUCUCUUUCCAGUUUCUACCGCUACUGGUCUCGUGCAACUUAAAGAGCUGUUGAUAUACUUUUGUGGGUUGGAGAAAAUUGUUUCUGAGGAGGAAGUUAAUGGGGCCCCAAUAUUUUUGUUUCCACAAUUAACAGACAUCUGCCUUUUCAAUUUACAGGAACUGAAAUGUUUCUACCCACGGUUGCAUGCAGUAGAGUGGCCAAUGUUAAAAUUUUUGGCUGUGCAUGGAUGCAAGAACAUAAAUUUAUAUGCUUCUGAAUUUCCUAGUUUUCAAGCCAUAGAUGGGGAGAGGCAGCCUGCCCUUUUUUUGUUAGAAAAGGUCAUGCCGAAUUUGGAAAUGUUGGGAUUAGACGCACAUGACUUCAGAUUGACAUUCCUCCACCCUGAAAUAGUUGAGAGCUUUGGCAAGCUUAAAAUACUUUGGCUGUCCACUUUUGCUGAUGAAUUGGUUGCUUCUUUGUUCGAUUUCCUUAAAAAAUUAAAUUGUUUGGAGUCACUUGCUUUUUUUGAUAGUAGUUUCAAAGAGCUAUUCCCCUAUGAACAAGGACAUCUAUGGAAACAGGAUUUUCUAGGGAACACAUUUCUUCCAAAUCUUCAAAAGCUGGAAGUGCACAGAUGUCAUUGUUUGACAAUUUUAAUGUCGUCUGCAAUGUCUUUCAAAAAUCUUGAAACUCUAGAAGUAUACAAUUGCGAUGGAUUAGCCAAGGUACUAACAAGUGAAGCAACCAAAACUCUUGUCAAUCUCACAACAAUGAGAAUCAGAGAGUGCAAGCUGUUGACAGAGGUAAUAGCGAACGAGGGAGGCAAAGAAGAAGAGAUUGUUUUUGGCCAAUUGAAAGUUCUGGAGCUUCACUGUUUAUCAAGCCUUGCAUUCUUCUGCUCAGCUAAUUAUUCCUUCAAAUUCCCCUGUUUGGAGCAAGUUAUUGUGAGUCAAUGCCCAAAAUUGAAUGUCUUUUUGUAAGGAGUUUUAAGCACACCAUUGUUAAAGAAAGUAUAAUUGACUGAACCAGAGGAUAAUGUAGAAUAUUUUUGGAAGGAUGAUCUCAAUUCUACUAUUCAGCAAAUAUUUACAGACAUGGUUGGCUUCCGUAACCUUGAACAUUUGACACUCUCAGAAUUCCCUAGCAUGAAAGAAAAAUUAUGGAAUGGCCAGUUCCUAAUGGACAUAUUUUGGAAUUUAAAGUCGCUAGUGGUGGAUAAAGUUUCAAUUAUAUCAAGUGGUAUUUCAUUGAAUGUGUUAUGCCACUUCAAAAAUCUGGAAUUGUUAGAGGUAAAAAGUUGUGAGUCACUAGAACAGGUGUUUGAUUUGGAGGUAAAUCAUCAAGAAAUUUUGGGCUUAAAGAAAUUCAGAUCAUUGAAAAUUGACAAUUGUAACAGCUUGAAAUAUAUAUCGACUCCAUCUGUAUUAUUGGGCCUUGUUCAACUCAAAGAGAUAGAAGUGAAAAACUGUGCUUUGAUAGAAGAAAUCAUCAAAAGCGAUGGGGAGAAAGAUGCGGGAAGUGAUAAAAUUAUAAUUCCUCUAUUGAACUCUAUCAUGUUUAAGUCAUUGCCUAACUUGACAAGCUUCUAUUCAGGAAGUAAAAUUUUGGAAUUUCCUCCCUUACAAACUAUUAUUGUUAAGGACUGUCGAAAGAUCUACAUGAAGGAGCUCAGUAUUCAUUUUUCAUCCCUUUUCACUGUUAAGGUUGUAUUACCCAGCUUGGAAACAUCUUCUUGCUUCCAGAAUUUAACAAUCUUGGUUAUCGAUGGCUUUGAUCAUUUGCAAUAUCUUUUCCCAUCUUCUAUGGUGAAAAGUCUUUUCAAACUAAGGAAGCUUAAGAUAUCUACAUGUAUGUUAAUGGAAAGAGUAAUAGAUGAAGAUGAAGGGAGAGCAGAAAUGAUGUUGUUUCCUAAACUGUACCAGCUAAAGCUUAGAGAUCUUCCGAAACUCACAACAUUCUGCAACUCCACAGCAAAUUAUGUUGAAAUGUCUUCCUUAUUCAGACUCUGGAUUGAUAAUUGCCUGACAUUGAAACAUUCAUCUCCAGUUAUGUAUGUGGUGAUAUGACAUUAUCAAGCAAAGAACCUGAAGGAAUGAAUGCAAAGGAUAACUCUACUCACGUGCUAUCUCUUUUUGAUCAGAAGGUAAGACUACCUAGUUUGGAGAGAUUGCAAAUUAGCUAUGCUGAUCAGUUGGUAAAAUUAUGGAACAAUCAAGUCUUCGUGGAUUCCUUCAAUAAAUUAAAUCGCUUGUUUCUACGAUUUUGUAAAAAUCUUGCAAGUGUUUUUCCAUCUAACAUGCUUGGGAAGCACCAGAAACUGGAUUUCCUGGGAGUACAAAAUUGUGAUUCAGUUGAGGAGAUAUUUGAAGUGCUCAAGAAAAGGUCUAGUAUGAUGGAGGAAAUUGUUGCUGAGGGGGAAACAGUCCCCAGGUUUGUAUUCUCCAAAUUAACCCACCUGUCUCUAGAGAUGCUACCCAGUCUCAAGAGUUUCUACCCAGAUAUGCAUAUUUCAGAAUGGCCAAUUUUGGAAGAUUCGAAGGUAUAUGGUUGUAAUAAUGUGGAGAUCCUUGCUUCAGAAUUAUUGAGCAUCCCAGGAAGUCAUGGAGACAGUCAACAACCACUGUUCUUCGUUUACAAGGAUGCAUUCCCUAGCUUGGAAAUACUAGAGUUGUGUGGAAUGCCCAGGUUAAAGCAUCUAUGGAGAGGAAAUUUUCAGCCUUGCAAUGCUUUUCAAAAUCACCAGACUCUGAAAGUAUCAGAAUGUGACAGUUUAGAAAAUUCAUGGUCCUCAUCAUUGACUUUCCAGAACUUGACAACUCUGCAAGUUUCAAAGUGUGAUGGAUUGAGAUAUUUACUGACCCCCUCAAAAACUAAAACUUUGGGUCAACUUACAAGAAUGAAUGUAUCUGAUUGCAAACAGAUGGAGGAAAUUAUAACACAUUUGGGAGAUGAAGUAAUGGGGAAUUCAAUUGUUUUCAGCAAAUUGGGUUGUUUGGAACUUCACUGCUUGUCCAGCCUUAAAAGCUUCUGUUGUGGGGAUUAUUCUCUAGAAUUCUUAUCCUUGAAAAAAGUAAUUGUUAGGCAAUGCUUGGAGAUGGAGACUUUUUGUCAUGGAGUUUUGAGUACACCAAGGCUUACAAGACUACAGUUGACAGAAGGAGGAGAGGAUGAAGUAGAAGAAUGUUGGGAAGGCAACCUUAAUUCCACCAUACAGUAUUUGUACAAUAAUACGAAACUGCGGAGCUUCAAAGAAGAUUGAGGUCAUUCCUAUAAAUAGUUUGCGAUAGACCAUGGCUUCAUUUCCUCCGGUUGAAGAGGAACUUUGUUUCUGCCAUCUUAACUGAUUUGAUCCUCACAUUCUGUUGAAUGUGGAGUGCCCCCUGUUUACACAUUUUGUCCAGUUGAAGGUAGGCCGUGCAAUGCUGAGUAUAAGAUUUUUGGUUUUCACUUUAACACUCUGCUUUACUUGAUGCUGUUUCAUUAAUUUUACCAGGUAUAUAUCAUAUUUUAUAAUUGAAAUUUGUACGUUCUUUAGAUCUCUUAAGGGAGUCCUAAGUAGAAAGAUAAUGUCACAAUAACUGAUAUAAUAAUUGCAUCGUUAUUGGUUGAAGAGUGAGCUAUUUUACUUCUGAUGUUAUCAUGAAAGUAUUUAGUUUGAACAA